This 252-nucleotide ribosomal RNA is filed under the name uncultured bacterium. RNAcentral describes it as "partial 16S ribosomal RNA". It matches the Rfam family "Bacterial small subunit ribosomal RNA", at positions 524 to 776 of the family's 1533-position model. The record is from RNAcentral.
UACGAAGGGGGCUAGCGUUGUUCGGAAUUACUGGGCGUAAAGGGCGCGUAGGCUGUGCUGUAAGUCAGGCGUGAAAGCCCCGGGCUCAACCUGGGAAUUGCGCUUGAUACUGCGGCGCUGGAAGGUGGGAGAGGAUGGCGGAAUUCCCAGUGUAGAGGUGAAAUUCGUAGAUAUUGGGAAGAACACCGGUGGCGAAGGCGGCUCUCUGGACCGAUACUGACGCUGAGGCGCGAAAGCGUGGGAGCAAACAGG